Long non-coding RNA from Cavia porcellus (domestic guinea pig), 1182 nucleotides. RefSeq lists it as uncharacterized. The transcript has 5 exons. Lineage: Eukaryota; Metazoa; Chordata; Mammalia; Rodentia; Caviidae. The record is from RefSeq and is a predicted model, not a curated record.
GCCAUGGUCUUCCCUGAACAUGAGCUGCACUGACUCCCAGGAGGCAGCAGUAGGGUUACAAGGGGAGGCCACAUGGAAGCAAGACCCCUGCCCGGGGGCCAUGAGCAAUAGGACAUUGGAAGUCCUUAGCAAACACGCCUGCUAGCCUGUGUCCAGGGCAGAGCCAUUCAGGAGUGUGGUUUGGCGCAUGUGCAGACUGUCGCUCUGAGGCUGUGCACAGAGGGAGAGGGAGCUCAAGGGGUGACUCGCAGACGAAGGCCCCGAGGCAGGGCACACUCGGUGCUGGCUUGCUUGGCAAAUGCUGAAACGAAUCAAGACCCAGUGGUGAAGUGCUCAGCUCGGUUCACGUGAGUUCCUGGGGCAGUGUUCUCGUUUCUGUACCAGUAAACCAUCAUUGUUCCCACCUUGUAACUGGAGUACAUGAGACUCUCACUUGCAGUGAGUGUGGAGGGUCCCUCACUGCACCGUCCUCUCCAGGCCAGCAUGCUGAUCGCUUCUAAGAACACUGGCUGCUGAUGGCUCACAGGUACCAGGGAUCGAAUUCACGACUGCCUGCAAGGCAGGCGCUUAUGCCACUGAGCUAAAUCCCCAGCCCCUGGCCUUGAACUUCUGCCUCAGGCUCCCAAGUGCUGGAAUUCCAGGCCAUGUGUGACUAUCCCCAGGUUCCCUGGAAAUCUUUUCAAUCUUGACAGCCUUGCAGAUUUUCUCAUUCCCAAGCUUCAGCUGAGGUUUACACUGAGUGUGCACACCCAGGCCCAAGCAGUAAGACGGAGGGAGAGGAAAUUCUGAAGCUGGCGCCCUGUCUGUAUUUCAUAUUCUCCAAGAGGAGCAAAUGCAAAUGCUGACACUCGUUACAGUGCAGAAAGGGGACUGACAGCGAUGCUGGUAAGGCGGAGGUGCCCUGGGCAGCCUUACAGCUGCUGCCAGGACUGCACCUGGGCCACUCCUCCUGAAGCGCUAUUUCUGUCUGGGUGCAUGUGUGUGUUACUGGGGACUGAACCUCUUCACUGAGCUAAUCCCCAGCACCCCCAAAAAAUAAAAAAAUUUAUUUUUUUAUUUUUUGAGACAGUCUGGCUAAGGUGCUAAUUUACUCAGGCUGAGGGUGAAGUUGAGUCUCCUGACUUAGCCUCCCAUAGUUGUGGGACUAUAGGUGUGAACCCCAUGCCUGGCAGGAAGGUUUAG